AAAAACCCAAACAUUAUAAAACCCAAAUUUACUCUUCCAUCCGGAAUCUCAGAUUCCGAUGAGCCGCCAUCAUGCAGCGUUGUAGACUUUGUCCAGCAAUGCUGGCCACCGCUGGUCGACCCCCUUUUCAGCCCAAAUUUCACUUAGAGCCUCCUUUUCAUCUCCUCUUUCCUGUUCUCCAAGUGGUUUUCCUAAAAUAUGCCUCUAAAGCCAUAGAUAUGGGGUUUUGAAUCAAAACUUCACACCACCAGAAACCACCGUUGUCGCCUUUCGAUUGUCCCCAAAUUUCAGUUUAUUGUUGCUCGCUUACUUCCCUUUCAUUUCACUGUUCCCGAUUGCCUCAAAGUCCAAUGGUGCGGUUGUCAGCGCACGCGUCCGCCGCUGCUAGUGGCGUUGGUGGCCACCCCUUUUGUCUUUCUUUGUUCCCCCUUAUUUCUCUACAAUUCCAAACCAAGCUCUCCUAAAAAAUCUCCAAAGCCCAACCAGUCCCAGGAAAAUUGAAACCCUCCUAUUUUUGCAUUUUUUUUCUGUUCUUUUUUGUUUCUACUGUGGCUUUCCCUUUUUUGGGGAUUAAGGUUGAUUUUUUUUCUUUCGUUUUUAUGGGCUACGGUGGAGGGGCUGUUUUCAACUUGUGUGAUGAUGGUUGAUAGUUCAAAAAUUGGUUUCGGUGGUGGGGAAUUGUGGGUGGAGCUGGUGGUUCAAGGAGGGGAUGUCGGUGUGUUUGGUUGAUGAUGGACAAUGAUACUGGUGAUGAUUAUCUCGGCUGCUUGACAAUUUGGGUGGUUGAGGGCUGGUGAGUUGGUCAAUUUGAUUUUGUGUUGUGAUUUUUUAGGAGGGUUCUAGUGGUGGAAAGGACAGUGUUGGGUGCAAAGGGGUUGGGUGAUGGUGAAUAUGGGUUUCGGUUGGCAAGGGAGGUUGCAAUGGGGUUGGUGGUGGCCGCGGGCAGAGGCUUGGGGCUGGGUGGUUUGUUGGUCUUAUGGUAGUGGUAGGAUGUGCUAGUUGGUAGGUUUUGGAUGUGGGCAGUGAUAACCAGUUUCGGUGGGGGACUCAGACGGUAAAACGGGGCAGAGGCAGGGCUAAUUUUGGGUUUGUGGUCUAGUCAUUUAGGAUUUUUGGUUGCUUCCUUUAAAUUGUCCUUCUCCCUUUAAUUUUAGUUUGCUGUCUAUUCCCCCUUUGUUACGUCCGAAUUCCCCCACUGGGUUCUUGUAUAACCGUCGCUUUUCAAGAUGUAAUUGUCUUUUAGACACUUGUUGUAGCAAUGGUUGCUGUAGAAGUAUAGCAUGUUGGGUUUGGGAUAGUGCGAAAGUGGGCUUGGGGAAGGAGCUGUUAACUUUUUGGAAGGUUUUUUUUGAUUAAUCGGUGCUAAAGGUAGAUGGGUAAAAUAGGAGGGGAAAGUCAAGGAGUUGGCAGUAAGCAUGUCCGUCGGGGGAAGGGACCCAGCAUUUGGAGAAGAAAGCUGAUUGACGUUAAGCCUCGUAGAGACUUUGAUUGGGUUUGCAACCUCAUGUGGCAUUAGCCUAAUUUUGAAUUAGAUUGACUUACAAUUCAUGUAAAAUAGUUCAAGAAUAAUUAUUCCCAAAACAAAACUUAUUUAGGCCUAACACGAAAUAAAUUUCAUUAAAGAGUCCAAAUAGGUGCAAAUUAGGACACGCAAUAAUCCUCAAAAAUCGAUUGAAAUUUACUUGUCUCCAAUAAAAU
This 1698-nucleotide long non-coding RNA is filed under the name Durio zibethinus. RNAcentral describes it as "long non-coding RNA (DZIB_LNC001671)". Lineage: Eukaryota; Viridiplantae; Streptophyta; Magnoliopsida; Malvales; Malvaceae. The record is from RNAcentral.